Molecule: ribosomal RNA, 839 nt
Filed under: Dialonectria sp.
Lineage: Eukaryota; Fungi; Ascomycota; Sordariomycetes; Hypocreales; Nectriaceae
Description: partial large subunit ribosomal RNA
Rfam family: Eukaryotic large subunit ribosomal RNA
Source: RNAcentral
UAGCAUAUCAAUAAGCGGAGGAAAAGAAACCAACAGGGAAUUGCCCUAGUAACCGGCGAGUGAAGCGGCAACAGCUCAAAUUUUGAAAUUCUGGCCCUCGGGUCCGAGUUGUAAUUUUGUAGAGGAUGCUUUUGGUGCGGUGCCUUCCGAGUUCCCUGGAACGGGACGCCAUAGAGGGUGAGAGCCCCGUCUGGUCGGAUACCAAUCCUCUGUAAAGCUCCUUCGACGAGUCGAGUAGUUUGGGAAUGCUGCUCUAAAUGGGAGGUAUAUGUCUUCUAAAGCUAAAUACCGGCCAGAGACCGAUAGCGCACAAGUAGAGUGAUCGAAAGAUGAAAAGCACUUUGAAAAGAGGGUUAAACAGUACGUGAAAUUGUUGAAAGGGAAGCGCUUGUGACCAGACUUGGGCCCGGUUAAUCAUCCAGUGUUCUCACUGGUGCACUUGGCCGGCCCAGGCCAGCAUCAGUUCGGCGCGGGGGAUAAAGGCUUCGGGAAUGUGGCUCCCCCGGGAGUGUUAUAGCCCGUUGCGCAAUACCCUGCGCUGGACUGAGGUUCGCGCAUCUGCAAGGAUGCUGGCGUAAUGGUCAUCAGCGACCCGUCUUGAAACACGGACCAAGGAGUCGUCUUCGUAUGCGAGUGUUCGGGUGUCAAACCCCUACGCGUAAUGAAAGUGAACGCAGGUGAGAGCUUCGGCGCAUCAUCGACCGAUCCUGAUGUUCUCGGAUGGAUUUGAGUAAGAGCAUACGGGGCCGGACCCGAAAGAAGGUGAACUAUGCCUGUAUAGGGUGAAGCCAGAGGANNGACUCUUNNUGGAGNCUCGCAGCNNUUCUNACGUNAAANUU